RNAcentral lists this ribosomal RNA (845 nucleotides) under Pseudomonas aeruginosa. Its description in RNAcentral is "bacterial SSU rRNA". It matches the Rfam family "Bacterial small subunit ribosomal RNA", at positions 60 to 898 of the family's 1533-position model. The record is from RNAcentral. Lineage: Bacteria; Pseudomonadati; Pseudomonadota; Gammaproteobacteria; Pseudomonadales; Pseudomonadaceae.
AGUCGAGCGGAUGAAGGGAGCUUGCUCCUGGAUUCAGCGGCGGACGGGUGAGUAAUGCCUAGGAAUCUGCCUGGUAGUGGGGGAUAACGUCCGGAAACGGGCGCUAAUACCGCAUACGUCCUGAGGGAGAAAGUGGGGGAUCUUCGGACCUCACGCUAUCAGAUGAGCCUAGGUCGGAUUAGCUAGUUGGUGGGGUAAAGGCCUACCAAGGCGACGAUCCGUAACUGGUCUGAGAGGAUGAUCAUUCACACUGGAACUGAGACACGGUCCAGACUCCUACGGGAGGCAGCAGUGGGGAAUAUUGGACAAUGGGCGAAAGCCUGAUCCAGCCAUGCCGCGUGUGUGAAGAAGGUCUUCGGAUUGUAAAGCACUUUAAGUUGGGAGGAAGGGCAGUAAGUUAAUACCUUGCUGUUUUGACGUUACCAACAGAAUAAGCACCGGCUAACUUCGUGCCAGCAGCCGCGGUAAUACGAAGGGUGCAAGCGUUAAUCGGAAUUACUGGGCGUAAAGCGCGCGUAGGUGGUUCAGCAAGUUGGAUGUGAAAUCCCCGGGCUCAACCUGGGAACUGCAUCCAAAACUACUGAGCUAGAGUACGGUAGAGGGUGGUGGAAUUUCCUGUGUAGCGGUGAAAUGCGUAGAUAUAGGAAGGAACACCAGUGGCGAAGGCGACCACCUGGACUGAUACUGACACUGACGUGCGAAAGCGUGGGGGAGCAAACAGGAUUAGAUACCCCUGGUAGUCCACGCCGUAAACGAUGUCGACUAGCCGUUGGGAUCCUUGAGAUCUUAUUGGCGCACCUAACGCGAUAAGUCGACCGCCUGGGGAGUACGGCCGCAAGGUUAAA